This 31-nucleotide non-coding RNA is filed under the name Mus musculus (house mouse). The record is from RNAcentral. RNAcentral also lists the same sequence under 1 other name. Lineage: Eukaryota; Metazoa; Chordata; Mammalia; Rodentia; Muridae.
UGGGACAUUUGAGUUACAAGCUGAACUAUCC